GAUGAACGCUGGCGGCGUGCCUAAUACAUGCAAGUCGAGCGAACGGACGAGAAGCUUGCUUCUCUGAUGUUAGCGGCGGACGGGUGAGUAACACGUGGAUAACCUACCUAUAAGACUGGGAUAACUUCGGGAAACCGGAGCUAAUACCGGAUAAUAUUUUGAACCGCAUGGUUCAAAAGUGAAAGACGGUCUUGCUGUCACUUAUAGAUGGAUCCGCGCUGCAUUAGCUAGUUGGUAAGGUAACGGCUUACCAAGGCAACGAUGCAUAGCCGACCUGAGAGGGUGAUCGGCCACACUGGAACUGAGACACGGUCCAGACUCCUACGGGAGGCAGCAGUAGGGAAUCUUCCGCAAUGGGCGAAAGCCUGACGGAGCAACGCCGCGUGAGUGAUGAAGGUCUUCGGAUCGUAAAACUCUGUUAUUAGGGAAGAACAUAUGUGUAAGUAACUGUGCACGUCUUGACGGUACCUAAUCAGAAAGCCACGGCUAACUACGUGCCAGCAGCCGCGGUAAUACGUAGGUGGCAAGCGUUAUCCGGAAUUAUUGGGCGUAAAGCGCGCGUAGGCGGUUUUUUAAGUCUGAUGUGAAAGCCCACGGCUCAACCGUGGAGGGUCAUUGGAAACUGGAAAACUUGAGUGCAGAAGAGGAAAGUGGAAUUCCAUGUGUAGCGGUGAAAUGCGCAGAGAUAUGGAGGAACACCAGUGGCGAAGGCGACUUUCUGGUCUGUAACUGACGCUGAUGUGCGAAAGCGUGGGGAUCAAACAGGAUUAGAUACCCUGGUAGUCCACGCCGUAAACGAUGAGUGCUAAGUGUUAGGGGGUUUCCGCCCCUUAGUGCUGCAGCUAACGCAUUAAGCACUCCGCCUGGGGAGUACGACCGCAAGGUUGAAACUCAAAGGAAUUGACGGGGACCCGCACAAGCGGUGGAGCAUGUGGUUUAAUUCGAAGCAACGCGAAGAACCUUACCAAAUCUUGACAUCCUUUGACAACUCUAGAGAUAGAGCUUUCCCCUUCGGGGGACAAAGUGACAGGUGGUGCAUGGUUGUCGUCAGCUCGUGUCGUGAGAUGUUGGGUUAAGUCCCGCAACGAGCGCAACCCUUAAGCUUAGUUGCCAUCAUUAAGUUGGGCACUCUAAGUUGACUGCCGGUGACAAACCGGAGGAAGGUGGGGAUGACGUCAAAUCAUCAUGCCCCUUAUGAUUUGGGCUACACACGUGCUACAAUGGACAAUACAAAGGGCAGCGAAACCGCGAGGUCAAGCAAAUCCCAUAAAGUUGUUCUCAGUUCGGAUUGUAGUCUGCAACUCGACUACAUGAAGCUGGAAUCGCUAGUAAUCGUAGAUCAGCAUGCUACGGUGAAUACGUUCCCGGGUCU
Molecule: ribosomal RNA, 1372 nt
Filed under: uncultured bacterium
Lineage: Bacteria
Description: bacterial SSU rRNA
Rfam family: Bacterial small subunit ribosomal RNA
Source: RNAcentral